Molecule: ribosomal RNA, 460 nt
Filed under: uncultured bacterium
Lineage: Bacteria
Description: partial 16S ribosomal RNA
Rfam family: Bacterial small subunit ribosomal RNA
Source: RNAcentral
CCUACGGGAGGCUGCAGUGAGGAAUAUUGGUCAAUGGACGGAAGUCUGAACCAGCCAUGCCGCGUGCAGGUAGACGGCUCUAUGAGUUGUAACCUGCUUUUGUACAAGGCUAAACCUUAAUACGUUUAUUCAGCUGAAAGUACUGUACGAUUAAGGAUCGGCGAACUCCGUCCCAGCAGCCGCGGUAAUACGGAGGAUCAAAGCUUUAUCCGGAUUUAUUGGGUUUAAGGGGUGCGUAGGCGGAUUGAUAGGUUAGAGGUGAAAUGUCCGAGCGUAACUCGGGAACUGCCUCUAAUACUGUUGAUCUAGAAAGUAGAUGCGGUAGGCGGAAUGGAUGGUGUAGCGGUGAAAUGCUUAGAGAUCAUACAGAACACCGAUUGCGAAGGCAGCUUACCAAUCUAUAUCUGACGUUGAGGCACGAAAGCGUGGGGAGCAAACAGGAUUAGAUACCCCAGUAGUC